Molecule: small nucleolar RNA, 124 nt
Organism: Sorex fumeus (smoky shrew)
Lineage: Eukaryota; Metazoa; Chordata; Mammalia; Eulipotyphla; Soricidae
Product: small nucleolar RNA SNORA31
Exons: 1
Source: RefSeq, a predicted model, not a curated record
CUGCGUCCACCGAUAGACUUCAAACAAUUUGCUGUUACUCUAUGGUUUGCACUAGAAUCAAAAGAAAAAAAAUCCAGCAAUUUCUGUCUGUCUCUAUGGCAGUCAGGGGAGAAUAGCUAAAAUU